This is a long non-coding RNA of Prionailurus viverrinus (fishing cat), 309 nucleotides long. RefSeq lists it as uncharacterized. The record is from RefSeq and is a predicted model, not a curated record. NCBI's taxonomy places the organism in Eukaryota, Metazoa, Chordata, Mammalia, Carnivora, Felidae. The transcript has 4 exons.
GUUCUCUAGUAACGGAUUGGAAAGAUCCACAACAAGGGGUGAAGGAACUUGGAAACCAACAGUAAAAUAGGGAGGAAAGCCCUUGAUUCGUGGCAACAGCUAAAGUGCUCACAUGUGCAGAGUGGACAAAGAGCACCGAGCGUAAGCUUCAAGAAAAACCUGGUUCACGGUCUUUUGGUCUGGAGUUAGACUCCGUGUACUCUGUCGUAUCAAAAAGAAGUGCUCAAGGAUAAAGCUGCUUCCUGUGCUUCCUCCAGCUUCCUGGUUUUGAAUAGGAUAUUAGAAGGAUGUGAGUGUGGGGCUGUGUCG